This 254-nucleotide ribosomal RNA is filed under the name uncultured bacterium. Its description in RNAcentral is "partial 16S ribosomal RNA". It matches the Rfam family "Bacterial small subunit ribosomal RNA", at positions 524 to 776 of the family's 1533-position model. The record is from RNAcentral.
CACGUAGGGAGCAAGCGUUGUCCGGAUUUAUUGGGCGUAAAGAGCUCGUAGGUGGUUCGGUAAGUCAGGUGUGAAACCUCCAGGCUCAACCUGAAGACGCCACUUGAUACUGCUGUGACUGGAGUCCGGUAGGGGAGCGUGGAAUUCCUGGUGUAGCGGUGAAAUGCGCAGAUAUCAGGAGGAACACCAGCGGCGAAGGCGGCGCUCUGGGCCGGUACUGACACUGAGGAGCGAAAGCGUGGGUAGCAAGCAGG